ACUCCCCAUCACAUCUUAAUAGGAGUUUCCUUCCAUAAGUAUUAUAAACUCCUGAAACAGGUUAAGAUCAUCCAGUUUUACACUGCCAGUAAUACCAACAAAAAGCUUCUUCAAGGAAUCGCUCUACCUACUCUGCUAAAUGUCUAUCUUCCUAUGCACAGGCAAUACUGAACACUGCAGAGGGAAAAUUUCAGCCAGCUUCAGUGAAAACCAUAAGACUGACAAAUUGAAUAAAAAUGAGCUGGACUUGAAUCAACUGACUGGAGCAUCUCUUCCCACUGAGCCCAUGCUCUGAGCUGUCUGACUGGGAUCCAACUCUGACUGGAAUUAAUGCAGCCAUAAAGUGAAGAACCACACCUGAACUAACAGCCUACACCUCUGAGCCAGGUUUUUAAGCUGCUAAGACAGACAGACAGACACAUGGCUUCCAAACCAGUGAGCCUCCCUUAGCCAAUGUAUGCAGCAGGACAACAAGCCUGCAAAUUGUUCAUACUUGAACAUGGACAUGACUGUAGAGCAGAAAGGCCAAUAUUAAACUCCAAAAAUCCCAUGCAUUCUGCAUUUUGAAAUAUAAAAUGCAGUAAUACAUAGGAUUAUUAAAGCUAAAAGUUGUACUAGACUAAGACUUACCCACCAAUAGCACAUGAACCAAACCCAGCCCAGACGAAAAUACCAUCCCAGCCAGAUCUGCUCUCUGCCUCUUCCUUUCUCAGAGACACCUGAUAUAGUGAAAGAAAUGUGUGUGCCCUCAGUU
Long non-coding RNA from Passer domesticus (house sparrow), 754 nucleotides. RefSeq lists it as uncharacterized. The record is from RefSeq and is a predicted model, not a curated record. NCBI's taxonomy places the organism in Eukaryota, Metazoa, Chordata, Aves, Passeriformes, Passeridae. The transcript is spliced from 3 exons.